This 747-nucleotide ribosomal RNA is filed under the name uncultured Saprospiraceae bacterium. RNAcentral describes it as "bacterial SSU rRNA". It matches the Rfam family "Bacterial small subunit ribosomal RNA", at positions 28 to 766 of the family's 1533-position model. The record is from RNAcentral. Lineage: Bacteria; Pseudomonadati; Bacteroidota; Saprospiria; Saprospirales; Saprospiraceae.
GAUGAACGCUAGCGGCAGGCUUAAUACAUGCAAGUCGAGGGGCAGCAGCUUUAUAGCAAUAUAGAGGCUGGCGACCGGCAAACGGGUGCGGAACACGUACACAACCUUCCUUGAAUAGGGGGAUAGCCCAUAGAAAUGUGGAUUAAUACCCCGUAAUAUAGCGGUGUGGCAUCACACUGUUAUUAUAGUUUCGACGAUUCGAGAUGGGUGUGCGGCUGAUUAGGUAGUUGGCGGGGUAAAGGCCCACCAAGCCUUCGAUCAGUAGCUGAUGUGAGAGCAUGAUCAGCCACACGGGCACUGAGACACGGGCCCGACUCCUACGGGAGGCAGCAGUAAGGAAUAUUGGUCAAUGGACGCAAGUCUGAACCAGCCAUGCCGCGUGAAGGAUGAAGGUCCUCUGGAUUGUAAACUUCUUUUAUAGGGGGCGAAAAAAGGUUUUUCUAAAUCACUUGACAGUACCCUAUGAAUAAGCACCGGCUAACUCCGUGCCAGCAGCCGCGGUAAUACGGAGGGUGCAAGCGUUAUCCGGAUUCACUGGGUUUAAAGGGUGCGUAGGCGGGUAGGUAAGUCAGAGGUGAAAUCCUGGAGCUUAACUCUAGAACUGCCUUUGAUACUAUCUAUCUUGAAUAUGGUGGAGGUAAGCGGAAUAUGUCAUGUAGCGGUGAAAUGCAUAGAUAUGACAUAGAACACCUAUUGCGAAGGCAGCUUACUACGCCUAUAUUGGCGCUGAGGCACGAAAGCGUGGGG